GAAAUAGGACGCGCGUUCCCAUUUUGUUGGUUUAUGAGAUCGCCGUAAUGAUUAAUAGGGAUAGUUGGGGGCAUUUGUAUUCCGUCGUCAGAAGGUGAAAUUCUUGGAUUGCCGGAAGACAAACUACUGCGAAAGCAUUUGCCAAGGAUGUUUUCAUUGAUCAAGAACGAAGGAAGGGGGAUCGAAAACGAUCAGAUACCGUUGUAGUCUCUUCUGUAAACCUAUGCCAAGUUGGGGAUCAGCUAAGAAUUUCAAUGACUUAGUUGGCAACCCGAAGAGAAAUCUUUAAAUGAGGUUCGGGGGGGGAGUAUGGUCGCAAGGCUGAAACUUAAAGGAAUUGACGGAAGGGCACCACCAGGUGUGGAGCCUGCGGCUUAAUUUGACUCAACACGGGGAAACUCACCAGGUCCAGGCACAAUAAGGAUUGACAGAUUGAUAGCUCUUUCUUGAUCUUGUGGUUGGUGGUGCAUGGCCGUUCUUAGUUGGUGGAGUGAUUUGUCUGGUUAAUUCCGAUAACGAACGAGACCUUAACCUGCUAAAUAGUCCCCUCGGCUUUGGCUGAGGGCUGACUUCUUAGAGGGACUAUCAGCGUUUAGCUGAUGGAAGUUUGAGGCAAUAACAGGUCUGUGAUGCCCUUAGAUGUUCUGGGCCGCACGCGCGCUACACUGACAGAGCCAGCGAGUACUCUCCUUGGCCGGAAGGCCUGGGUAAUCUUGUGAAACUCUGUCGUGA
Molecule: ribosomal RNA, 732 nt
Filed under: uncultured fungus
Lineage: Eukaryota; Fungi
Description: SSU rRNA
Rfam family: Eukaryotic small subunit ribosomal RNA
Source: RNAcentral